AGGGGAUUUACAGCUGCGAGCGCAGCGAUGACGAGGAGACGCACGUGACCAACACUCCUCUGAAGAUAGAGAGAGGGAGUCCGUCUCAUGCUACAGGCGUCGCUGUAGGUGUGUUGGUGGCGUUGGUCGUGUUGGUGACGUUGGUCGUGGUCGGCUUUGUGUUUUACAGGAAAUUUAAAAAGUCACAAAGAGGACCUCACAAGACAUCCGAAGAUGAAGCUAAUGCAGCGGUCUGACACUGCACUUCCUCCUGACGUUUAUCAGUCCACUGCUGCGGAAACAUCAAGAUCACACUGAGCUCGCUGAAGUGUGUUUGUUUCAUCAAAGUGAGAAAACCUCCCGUCCGGACAUUCACUAACAGACAAUCAGUCAAAUAUGCGCAAAAAUGUGCACGUUGCCACUAAACCUUAUAGUAGCUGCUAGUUCAGAGAAAGCUACAACAAGGCUAAACUCAUGACGCCAGUGAUGUUUUUCAAAACAACUUGGCACGUCGGGGCUUCAGGGCACUUGGA
Molecule: non-coding RNA, 512 nt
Organism: Plectropomus leopardus (leopard coralgrouper)
Lineage: Eukaryota; Metazoa; Chordata; Actinopteri; Perciformes; Serranidae
Source: RefSeq, a predicted model, not a curated record